GGGGCCGUAAAGGCUUCGACGGGGAUUCUGAGGCGCAAUAAGCGAGUAGUGAGGGCGAAAUCACUUUAAAAGUCGCAAACUAAAUUUAAACGCAGACGAAGAUAACGAUCUCGUUUUAGCAGCUGCCUGAGGCGCUGCCGUCGUACCCUGCAGUACUGCGGGCGGGGAUACGGCGUCGAUUAGCAGUGAACGACCCCUGCAAAUAGCCUUAUAGCUAGGGUUGUACUAAAGGCUACCAAUUGCGAAAGCCUGUUUGCCGGCGUUCGCAGGCGGGAAUUUUAAAAGACAGACUGCACUCGGAGAAAGUUGCGAAGACGGGUUUUCGGACAGGGGUUCAAUUCCCCUCGGCUCCACCA
RNAcentral lists this transfer-messenger RNA (356 nucleotides) under Oscillospiraceae. RNAcentral's name for it is "CAG-115 sp900768705 Standard tmRNA". It matches the Rfam family "transfer-messenger RNA". From Rfam's summary of the family: Bacterial tmRNA, also known as 10Sa RNA or SsrA, is named for its dual tRNA and mRNA-like properties. Its role is to liberate the mRNA from a stalled ribosome. The record is from RNAcentral. Lineage: Bacteria; Bacillati; Bacillota; Clostridia; Eubacteriales. RNAcentral also lists the same sequence under 1 other name.